Nymphalis io (European peacock) is the source of this 992-nucleotide long non-coding RNA. RefSeq lists it as uncharacterized. NCBI's taxonomy places the organism in Eukaryota, Metazoa, Arthropoda, Insecta, Lepidoptera, Nymphalidae. The record is from RefSeq and is a predicted model, not a curated record. The transcript has 3 exons.
UUAACUUGUAAACAAAAUACUUGUAAAAUAUAAAUAAAAAAGGACUUUACUGAGAGAAAACAAUGAUUUCUAAUAAAUUAUAUGAAAAAUAUAAUAAUUAUCGUUAUUGCAUAGUAAAAGAAUGUAAAAAUACGUCGAUGAAAACUCCAAACAAACUGUGGAUAAAAGUUCCUAGUGAAAUAAACAUGCGCAAAACCUGGCUCAAGCUUGCUAAGAGGGAUCCUUCAACUUUAUUGACUACAAAUACUCAAAUAUUUUUUUUUGCGAAGAUCACUUCGAUCUAGAAAAUUAUAUGGCAAAUCAUAACCAGUAUAAAGUUUUGGCCUCGGUGAAAAGGGUUCGAAUCAGAGCAGGUUGUAUACCAUCCAGGUUUAAAUGCCAGACUAAAAAAAAACACAAAUCAACACUGUGUCUAAAUGAGCCACAACAAAUUUUGAAGAAAAGAGCUAAAGUCCCCGUUUGGGAAGAUAAAAAAGUCUGCCCUAUUGGAAUAUCAACAUCAUCCUUUAAACAAGAAUCAAUGAAUAUGGAAAAUGUUGUAACUUCUUGUUUUUCUCUUGAAAAUAUGUCCUACAACAAGACAGCUCCAGUUGUACAACAUAAUGCUUUGUUCUGUGGUCAGGCUGUGCAAGCGCAGCCAGUUAAUCAAUAUACAUCAUGUUGUGUAGUACAACAAUCCAAAGGAAGCAACAACAAACCUUCAGUAUCUGGUCAACACACAUUAAAUCAAAAGUUUUUUUUUUCAACUGAGAAAAAAUUUGAUAGUGAAGUAUCAUAUACACUAUCUCCAGCAGGAUCAACCCUGUCCACAAAACAAUCUAGUCAGACUACUGUUGAUAAUUAAUUAAUUACAGUUACAGUUUUUCUACAGUAUUUAAUACUAACUAAUUAGUUAUUCUCAAGAAAAACUGUAUCUAAGAUAAACCUAAAACCAAACUUCAAAACAUAUAAAGCUCAGAGAAAAACAUGUUUAAUUAUGUGUGUAUGUGUGA